UUGCUAUAAGGUUGUGGUUUUUUGAAAAAUAUGGCUAAAUGGGUGUGCAUAAAAUGUGUUUAUACUCAAUGGGUUGGUUUAUUUUAGUGGAAUUUGGUUUGGGUUUUUGUUGUUUUUACUUGCUUGGCUGUGAUGGGGUUGCUAGAAGCUUGUGGUUUUUGAAAAAUAUGACUAAAUGGGUGUGCAUAUAAUGUGUUAAAGCUCGAUGGGUUGGUUUGUUUUAGUGGAAUUUAAUCUUUUUUUGUACUGGCUGUGUUGGGGUUG
This 264-nucleotide long non-coding RNA is filed under the name Solanum tuberosum (potato). RNAcentral describes it as "long non-coding RNA (STUB_LNC004404)". Lineage: Eukaryota; Viridiplantae; Streptophyta; Magnoliopsida; Solanales; Solanaceae. The record is from RNAcentral.